RNAcentral lists this ribosomal RNA (821 nucleotides) under Glomus cf. clarum Att894-7. RNAcentral describes it as "eukaryotic LSU rRNA". It matches the Rfam family "Eukaryotic large subunit ribosomal RNA", at positions 1 to 668 of the family's 3401-position model. Lineage: Eukaryota; Fungi; Glomeromycota; Glomeromycetes; Glomerales; Glomeraceae. The record is from RNAcentral.
AUUUGACCUCAAAUCAGGUAAGAAUACCCGCUGAACUUAAGCAUAUCAAUAAGCGGAGGAAAAGAAAAUAACAAUGAUUCCCCUAGUAACUGCGAGUGAAGAGGGACAAGCUCAAAUUUUAAAUCCGUCGGGUUACACCUGACCGAGUUGUAAUUUGAAGAGGCGUUUUCCGCGUUUUUGAUCAGUCCAAGUCCUUUGGGAUAGGGCAUCAUGGAGGGUGAGAAUCCCGUUCGGCUGAUCAGAUUCGCUUUACGAUACGUCAUCUAAGAGUCAAGUUGUUUGGGAAUGCAGCUUAAAAUGGGAGGUAAAUUUCUCCUAAGGCUAAAUAACGGCGAGAGACCGAUAGCGAACAAGUACCGUGAGGGAAAGAUGAAAAGAACUUUGAAAAGAGAGUUAAACAGUACGUGAAAUUGUUGAAAGGGAAACGAUUGAAGCCAGUCGUACCGGUGGGUAAUCAGCCUUUCGGCGUGAUUAUGUGGAGCGUGAGGAGUUAAACGCCCUCAUGGCCUGCAUAUUCGUGUUCUUUGGGUGUACUUACCCGCAUGGUAGGUUAACAUCAAUUUCGAACGUCAUAAAAUGGUUGGAGGAAUGUAGCUUCGAUCUCGUAUUGAAGUGUUAUAGACUCCGGCAGAUGUGAUGAUCGGGAUUGAGGAUUGCAACGGAUACCCUUCGGGGCUACCCGUCUGAUCUCUGAAAGUUGCUCUGGUGCCGAAAGCUCGCUUACGGUCAUCAAAGUUGACGUUCAACAGGUUAGAACGGGAUAAAUUCGUUAAGGAUGUUGACGUAAUGGCUUUAAACGACCCGUCUUGAAACACGGACCA